CGCCCAUGAGGCAGUUUGACCGACAUGUCAAACAACCAAUCACAGUUUGUUUCUUUUUAGCGUCACAUUUAGGGGCGAGGAAAUGUCACCACAAUAACAGACCGGCGUAUUUUAAAGAUUCUGUGCCGCGAACUUUAAAUAUUUCAUAUACUUUUGAAAAUCCAGUGUUUAGUUGCUCCUGAUAAGCGCUCGUCAUCACAGUUGUAAACAUGACGGCUUUCUUCUUUCGUGAGGGGGUUUGGCGUCACGGCAUCUUUGUUUCCAGGCAGAACGUUAAAGAACGCAACACACACGUCUACCGGAAAUCCUGUAUAAUUCAACCAAUCCGAUGACGACUUCGAAACUCCUUAAGUGUUUCCACUUUUGUGUGCCAAAUGGAUCAGACAACGUUCUGUGUGCAUGACGUCUGAGGCUGAGACUACAACAUUCUAGACAUGAUAUUCGUCAUCCGUGCUCUUCCACUCACCUCUUAUGGCAAAUAAAAUAGCCAUCGAGGAGUUGAUGAGGAUGUGUGACACUCAAAAACAAAAUAUAAAUAUAAAUACACAAACUCUAUGGAAAGACAUUGAAUCUGUGAGACUGAAGUUACAGACCCUGUGAAAGGUAUGGGUGAAGGUUCAAGGGAAGAUCUUCCGAUGUCCUGCCACUGGGCCUGCGGAUCCUCUGGAGUUCAGACAUGGGCAGGUGUGGGGAUGCCUCUCCAGUGCUGCUGUGCCAGAGUGAUCCAAAGUGGUCCUGUCUCUUUCUCCUGUGUCCGUGAGCUGUCCAGAGAGUGCCUGGCCUGCAGAGAGGGUUUUUCUGUAAAGGAGAAGAAAUGCAGAAGGUGCCAAGUUGACAAGAAAGAUUAAAAACCAUUUUAGAGUCUUCUGUUCUUCUGUUGUACUCUCUACAAGAAUAGUAUAAAUCUCAGUUUUCUGUACAAAAUAUCAAUGCUCAUACAGUAGGUUAGGAAUAUUGUUAAAGUUUCAGGAAAGUUUAGGCUUCAGGCAUUGUUUCUGCGUGUAUGAUUUGUGUGAAUCAACACAAAUCUUCAACACACAAGCUUUAAGGAAAAUAAAUAAACUGAUGCUUUGCAUGCAUUGCAAUAAUUGUGAAGUUCAUGCAAUUAUAGCUUUACAGUGCUUGAGUAUUUCCGACCUUUUUUAAUUAGUUCUGUCCUACGGUCUGUUUUUUCUCUCCAUGGCAUGCUGAUGGAUGGGAAAAAUGACUUCUUUUCUUUAAGCUCCUCCUCCCCUUGUCCAUUUUUCUGGGAUGGUACAGAUGCUGCAACUUCUUCCUUUUGAUCACUGCUCUGCGCAGCAUCUAUCUGUUCUGCUUGCCCUGUCCAUUGUGAAAUCAUGUCCCCUGAAGUCCUUCUGCCAGGUUUCGGGAGAGGAGAGGGUGGAGGUGUGGCAUCUUCAGAUGGUUUGGGGGAUGUAGCUGGUUUUUGGUAAAAUGGAGGCUUGGGGACAAAAUUGACGGCUUCAGUGCGUGCCAAAGGGAGAGUAUUUCUGCUAAACUUACUUCGAGAUUCUUUACUGGGUGCUGUAGUGGAUCGAAAUCCGGUAAUCUCUUGUUGCGGAGAAACAGGGCUAGACUUUUCCGAGAGUGUAGAAGUGUCAGAAUCUUGGUCAGUGGAGGUGAGGGGCACUGGGACACCUUCAAAAUUGUCUCCUGCACUGUACCUUUUCUUCCUCUUCUCUGCAGAUUGUUCAUUGUGGAAGCGAAGAGAGUAGUUGGUUCUUCUCAACUUGAUUCCAAAAGGUGAGGGCUGCUCAUCACCACUCUGGUCCUUCUGAUCCCUUUCAUCCUUUGGAGCCAAGUCUUCUGAUUCUGCCUGACUUAGGGAUCCAGACUCGGAUCUCUGUGAUUUGGGAGAUCCAUGUGGUGGACUGGGAACAAGGAAGGAGGGGAGGUCUUUGGCAAACAUGCAUUCUUCAGCACUAUCUGUGAUGCGGACAACUUUGCUUCCCCUGCUCUGGAUCUUGGUACCUAAAGAGGGCAAUUCAGAUUUUUGUACAGAGGGAGUUUCCGUAGAUGGUGAUUCUAUUGUCACACCUUCUUUGUCUUCCUGACCCAAACUCUCUGAGUUCCUUUUGGAAUCAGUAAACUUCUUUCUGGCUGGUAUGAUGGAAAACUUAGCACUGGCUGACAUGGUUUUCCUGAGGUUGCUGUGAGAGAAUGGCACUGUAUUUAGAUCCUCACUUAUCGGCCUGCGACUCUGAUCUGGGUAUUCGGGAUAUUUUCCAUCCUCAGCACCUUUAAAAAUUUUGGAUCGGAUACUUGCCCAUUCUGCCAGGACAGCAGCAUUUGAUUGGUCUACAGAUAAGGAAGACUCAUAUAAGGAUUUGGUUUUUCCAGAUUUACGAUCUGGUGAAGUCUUGCUUUUGGUUGGAGGAGUGCUCAUGGCCUUUUUGCCUUCCGAAAGGCCAAGAAGGGUCUUGCAGGCUGUGUCUUUGAUCUGAUCGAGAUUGACUGCAGUUCCACAAAGUUGGGCUCCUGUCACAAGAAUUGCAGUAUGUGGGACAUAAAGAGAUGAAGACAGAGUUGGUGAAUCUGUGCAUCCUGGUGAAGAAGCUUUAGCUCCCUCCCUGGUUUCAGCUGUUGAUUCACCCUGUUGGCCAGUUGAUAGAGUAACAGGAGUGAGGUUGACCUUCUGGAAAAGUAUCUGCUUCUCACCUGAAGAAACCUUGAAAGUGAAGGGCCUCUGUCUCUCCUCCAUCUCUCUCCAUCUCAGUUCCUCUGCUUUUCUUUUCCAUUCUGGGUCAGUAGCUCCAGCUUUCUCCUCUUGCUGUUGCCACUUUCUUUCCUCCUCUUCCUCUAGUCUUUUUCUCUCAGUCUCCUCUCGUCGGCUUCUUUUCUCCUCUUCCUCUCUCUGCCGUUUCUCCUCUAACUCUUGAAUCCUAUGUUGUUCUGCCUCCUCCUCCUCUUUUCUCCUUCUCUCCUCCUGCUCCCUUUUUCUUUCCUCUUCCAGAUGAAGACGCUCUGCCUCAAGUUCCUGCUGCCUUCUCUCCUCCUCUGCUCUUCUUCUUUCCUCCUCCUCUUUCCACAUUCUUUCCUCCUCUUGCCUCUUUUGCUCUUCCUCGCGUUUUAAUCUUUGCUCUUCCUCUUCUCUCUUUCUUUCUUCCUCUUCCCUUUCUUUCCUUGCCUCUUCCUCUCGUUGCGUCCUCUCCUCUUCCUCCUUUUGCAGCCUAUCCUCUUCCUGUCUGCGCUGCUUUUCUUCUUCUAGCCUCUGCUCCUCAAUUCUCCUUUGUUGUUCCUCCAUCUUUCUCUCUUCCUCUUGUUCCCUUCUCUGAAACUCAAGGCGUUCUUGCUCCUCCUCAUGAAAUCGUCGCCUUAUCGAUUUCUCAGUGGGUUCAUAAUCCUCUUUGCUCCUAUGGAUAAUGUUAUAGUCCUCUCUUGACAAAUCAAAGACUUCUUCGUCCUUUUGUGUUUCAGAUUGCUCUUGCAUUUCAGAGAAAUCCUCUUCCUGAAACUCCU
Long non-coding RNA from Cyprinus carpio carpio, 3459 nucleotides. NCBI's taxonomy places the organism in Eukaryota, Metazoa, Chordata, Actinopteri, Cypriniformes, Cyprinidae. The record is from Ensembl.